Molecule: long non-coding RNA, 459 nt
Organism: Nyctereutes procyonoides (raccoon dog)
Lineage: Eukaryota; Metazoa; Chordata; Mammalia; Carnivora; Canidae
Exons: 3
Source: RefSeq, a predicted model, not a curated record
GCCUGUUUGUGUGCUGCGGCCGCCCCGUGACACUGGAUCUUGUCUUCUGGCCGGCGCCUCGAUUCCUGCCCAGCUGGAUUUGGGGGGCGACAGCGCCUGGCGCAGGGCGGAGAGCAAAUGAGACUGCGAAGAAGCAUAAAAUGAAUAGACAAUACAACCAACCAAAGACCGGGGGCAGCAGCACGCCAGCAAGACGGCAUCUUCUCCUCCCCAGCCUAGAAGCCCUGUGAAAUCGAGGAUCUUCCCCCUAAAACACACACACACGAGAUAUGUGCAAUCAAGCUGCCACCGCUUGGUAAAAAGCUCACGGUGCCUAACCCAAAAGGAUCAGGAGCAGAUCCUUGAAUCAGCUGUCACCUCUUCUAUAGAAUGGGAUGUUUUUUUUUUCCUUCCUCCUUAACCUGCGCUGGAAAUUGCCGUUGGCUUUGUACAUCUCUAUAGAGGGAGGCUAAAGAGUCU